Molecule: long non-coding RNA, 12750 nt
Organism: Columba livia (rock pigeon)
Lineage: Eukaryota; Metazoa; Chordata; Aves; Columbiformes; Columbidae
Exons: 6
Source: RefSeq, a predicted model, not a curated record
CCGCGCGGACGGGCAGGGCGGGCGCGCGCGCCGGGAGGGGGCGGUGACAGCGGCGCUGAGGGGACGUGUCGUAGCGGGCCUCGGCGGCCCCUCCGCGGCGGCCGAGAGACCCGCCCCCUUUCUUCCCCUGUCCACAGGGGAACGGGCGCGGGCCCUGAGCGGGAGAAAGGGGAACGGAGGUGGGCAAGGCGGCGGCUGCCCGCGGGGGGUUGUGUGGCUCCGGGGUUCUUCCAGCUCGGUGAGGAAGAGGAGAGCGGGAAGCGGGGCAGGUGCUGGGGUGUCCGUGUGCCCAGGCCGGCUGGGCCACCGUCCCGUCCGCACCCCGUGACCUGGCAACGUCCGACUCGGCAGCCGCGGAGGAGCUGCCGGUGAUCUGGUGGGCGAGGCCGGGGCGCCCCGCGGGUCAGGGGUCUCCCUGCCGCCCUCACCGUGCUGGGGCGGAAAGCUCGGGAAAGGAACGCUGCCUGAGCCGGGCUUGGUUAUUUCCACGGAGACUCUGCCUAAAGCAUCCUGUCCUGUCGCUCAGGCCUUCCUCCACAGUGUCGAAACGUGAUCAUGUGCUUAAAAAUCUGAUCAUCAUAUGUUAUUUUGGACUCAUCCAAUUAAAUGCACAAAUUAUCAGAAAUAGCUCAUUUUGCCUUUCAGAGAACGCCUUCUCAAGCAACACGGUGAAAGAGUUUGAAGUAGAUUACAUGGACAGAUGAAUUCUCAAGUUUUGAGGCCUUAAGGAUACUUAAAAUAGCUUGUGAUGAAAUAAGCCUCUUUUUCACAGGAAUUCAGGAUGGUUCUUGUUGCUCAAUGAUGUGGAUUGAGACUUAAGUAGCUUUUUGGCAUAACGGUAAACCUCUGAAACGAAAAAGCAAAACCCAGCUUUGAGUUCUGACUAUAAAUACGAUGUUUCAGGUCAAAAUGAACGAUUUUGGAAAUUAGAGCCUUUACAAAUGGAUGUAUGGAGAGAGAAGGCUUUUCACCCAACAAAGGUUGGCACUGUGUUUUCAACCAAGUAAUACAAUGAAGCUAGCUGGAAAUAAUAAUUUACUGAAGAGCAUUAAUUACUGAUUAAGUGCUUAGUCAAGUAAUAGGAUGGCAGUGUGGGUACUUGAACUAGUAGCAAUAAAAGCAACCAGUUUUGUGAACAUCAAAACUAAUGAAGCCUAUUUCUUGGUGUCUCUCAUGUUAAGUAAUUGGUAUCUGAUACAGCUGAGUAUCUGAACUUUUCACUUGGUUAUGCCACUCUACCAAAGUAUUAUUUUCACACAAUGUAUAAGUACUUAAUAUUUUUGAGAUGUUCUCCCUUUUUCUAGUGAGGUUGAAACUGCCAAACAAGUUCAAAAGCUGCUAGGGAUGUGCAGACACGCUCAAGACCACAUGCAAUUUAUCACAGAAAAGCUUACUGGGUGAAUUAUUAACAUUUCAGCAAAUUUGAAUGUACCAUGUAAGGAACAAAUUGCCCUAAAGAAAGCAAGAAAAAGAGUAUAAUCUGUAAUGAGCAUUACUGCAAAUAUAAUAAUUAGAAGAAAAUAACUGCCUGCGUGACUAUAUUCUUGCAAGUAAUAAUUACUAUCAGGUAAGACAACAGCGUUUUGUGGAUAAUGUGUGAUACAGUUUCCUGAAGCUAUACUAUGGGAAGUGGCAGUUUGCUUAAGAAAAGAGGUAGUAAAAUUGAAGGAACUGGGUGAGCAGUGAUACUUAGAAGGAUAUUGAUAAUUAUUUACUGUGAACAAGAUUUUUUACUGUAAAUGUACUGUAAAAUUCCUUCUAUUUGCAUUGGCACACAGAUGCCAGCAUUUCAUGUUUGGUAUAUGUAGUACCUGCUUGUAUGCUCUUCCAUCCAAGAAGGCUCUCUUGCAAGAUUAAAAUAUACACACAGAGGUACAAAUGCUCACAGCAGUGUUGUAUCUUUGCACUGAUCACUAGCCUUCUGCAUGAUCUUGUUAUUCAGAGGUUUCUGUUGAUCUCCUGUAGCAUCAGAGACACCAUUUCCUCCCAGUCCACAGAUAAAUCCAAACUGAAGAAUAUUAGAUAAGAGGGGCCAUUGUCUUCUAGUGAUUAAUCUUUUUCUUAUGUUCCUGCCUGAUAUCUCUGAUCAUGUACUUACAAUCUGAUCAUCAUAUGUUAUUUUGGACUAAGCAGCUUUUCAGAUAAACUUAGCAUAAAGCAAUAGGCCUGGUUUUCCUACUGAGAUCACCUAAAGACAAUUCAGGUACAUGCUGUGUGAUCCAUGUUGUGCCAUAGAAGCUUGGGUCAGCUUGGUAUGACUUACUCUAGUGACAGUGAAUCUUAAUUUGAUUUAAGUUUGUCAGGGCGACUGUUGCAGCAAGUGAUAUGACGAUCCCUUCUGAUCUGAAAUGUGAUGAAAAUUGAAGGAAAUUUUUAAAAUGUCAUUUGGGCAAAAAUAACGGACAGAAAUGCAAACAAUGUGGGUAGGUGAAUGUACAUGGGAAUGGCUUACCAUUUUUUAAUCUACUCAGUUGUUUUAGAGCUAAAUGUUUGGUACAUUGCAAGGAUAUACAGUAAUCCACAAGAAGAUAAAUAUAAUAUUUUUUGUUUAUAGGAGGGAAAGAAACAGGGCAGAAAAAAUCCAACAAUGAGAAAGGAGCAAGUUUGUAAGGCCAAGGAAAAGAAGUAAAUCCAGAAAAAAACAAAGGGAAUAAUAACCAGAAAUUGCACAAUAGAAGCAAGAGGUAUGAGACAGAGCCCACAGCAGUCAGUCAGAGUCUUUCCACUUGGAUCAGGCUUAUUUAAAACAGAAAAUAAAAAUCCUCCUUCUUGGCAAGAGUCACGUUUGCCCCCACUCCAAACUAUUCUGUCUGCUUGUUUAGACUAUAGCUAAACGAAAUGUAAAUUAUGCUGCAUAUCAUAAAUCAUUGUAUUAAAAGAAUGCCACCGAUUAAUGAGCCCUGCUUGGAAAAUAAAUGCAUGUUUUUACUGUGCAUUUUGUUUCCAUAAAUACCUUUGCUUUAAUGCAGUCACAGCUAUUGCGCUGGCCUGAUUCAUUCAGUAGCACAGUGACUCAUUUGACAGCAAGAAACACGUCCAAGGUGAUAAGCAAAACCAGCAGUGAAACAAUUACAGAAGAAGAGGAUACAGUCUCUAGACUCCUAAUUUCUAAAAUAACUGUAAACGUAUGACCUAUCUGUAGCAGGGAGAAGAGAUGCUGAGUAAAAGAGGCAUUAUUAAUAUGAAAGAAUGAGUGACACCUACUUAAAGCAACCAUUAAUAUAGACCUAUAUUUUUCACUUCCUAUAUCAUAGCUGAAUAAACCAUUUUAAAUCCCCUCUCACCUGUGCCAAAUUCAGUGCUAUAGUUUUCUGAGUUUAAGCUGUGUGUUCUAUUGACAAAUUUAUUUCCAUGCACAGUUUUUUUAAUCUGAAUUUGUCAUAAAGUCGUCUUCCCUGCUGCUAAUAGGCCCUGAUAUUGCUCGUAUGAAAAAAGUAUGAAGAAUAACUGAAGGCUUAAUGGGCUCAACUUUAUUCUGUUGGUGUUUCUGAGCUUUGUUAUUCAUAUGUUCAUUGUUCUAACUGAAUUACAGCUGUCCAUUAGAUUAUGUACAUUUCUCAUAAAUAAGUGAGUUUUAGUUCAUUAUUAAGGGAAAGUUCUUUUCUCCUCCAGUUGGAGAAUGUAUUUUUGUUACUUAAUAUAUUGCAAUGAGAAGAGGUAGGGAAUUAUCAGGAUAUGUUAGAAAAUAAUAUCUUAAAAUCUCUCUGAGAUAAUCUGAAGAUUUUCAAUAGAAAACAUUUGCAUUAGGAAUUUUAAGGUUUUUGAUUGUCCAGAUUAUAUUUCAGGCAUGGUGAGUGAAUUAAGCACCUUGCUAGCCAGUCGGAAAAGAUGUUUCCACCAGCAGACUUUGUGUUCAAAAAUGUGCCGGGGUGAAUUUAGGGCAAAGAGGGUGAUGAGAAGGUUUUGCUGUUUGUUUUCUGGAUUGUCAAGUUGACACUUGAACUGCUGAUCAGCUUUCUGCUUUCUAAGGGGGUUACGGGCAGCACAGAGAAUCAACAUCCAGCUAUUUGCUUUUGUCACACAAAAUUCACUAACCACUUAAGGAAAAACAAAUUGGAUGUUUUGGGGAAAGAGGGAGAAAAGAGAAGGUAAAGAGUGUCUCAGUUAUCCAAACCUAAACAACCACAUCGACUGUGGUGGUGUUCCACUUACAGCUAGUUGAAUCUGCAGCAAAGUAUAUUUGAGUUGGUUACUCUUAAAGAGGAAUUCUUUCUCUCUAUUUAUUUAUUUUAACAAUACUUUUAUGGCAGUAGACACCUGUUGCUAGAUUUGUGCAUUCUUGUGUGAACUUAGAACAUUUUCUAAACACUAGGUGAUAGUGACAAAUGGAAAGCAGCUGUUUGUUGGAGAGGCAUUCAGAAGGAUGUGAUUAUCUGGAAUAUAAGGGACAAAAAGAACUUGAGCCAGGUGACUCAUGUCUAGUUCAGGUAAAGCUAACAUUGAAGUUUGGUUUAGAAUUGCAGAGGUAAAAUGUAGGCUAUCUGUUAUAAAGUCCAGGUCAGAAGCUUGUUCUUGCUCUCAGUUGAUUUGUAUCGACCUCCCCAAUGAGUAACUCAAAUAGCAUUUGGCCUUUGGAUCUGUAGUAUGGCCCAGUAGUCUGGAAUUUGUUACAGCAUUGCUUGGAUGCUGCAGGUCUUACUGCAGAUUUUGCCAGGUCUGAUUUGGCUAAAUUGAUCCCUAUGAGUGUAAUUACAGCUGAGAAUGUAGCAAACGUUUCAGAGCAAGAUUUUGCAUCUGGUGAUUAGAUUUUGCAUAAACUGUGAAGAUUAUCUGGAAUUUAAGUGAGGCCUUUCGUCAUGUCACUAUGCACCAGCACAGGAAUAUGUAGAUUAGUCUCCUGCAGCAAGAGAGGCACAGAAGUAAAAAGCAAACAUUUCUCUGUGCACCUGUAACAGUUACUUGUAAUGUGCAUUCUUGGAAGAACAAUGAGAAACUAGCCUUGAAAGAUCUUAAAACUGGAAGUCAUACUCUCCAGAUGUAUUGAGAGCAACUGAUGAAGCUCAAAUAGUGCAAAACACAAGUGGGCUACAGAUAAAGACUAAAACAAACCAAGGUCAGUAUUAUUUCAGUUUUCUUGGAUAAAAAUAAAAUCUUCAUUAGAGUGGCAGCAAGAGCAUAAGGCUUAGCCAUACCCAGCAUGUGCCAUCAUACCUGCUCCUGAAGUUAGUAAGAAAAAUAAGAAGGAGAAAGUACUUUUCUGCCAUUGUGCUGCGUGCUCUUUUCCAAAGAUUAAAAUUUUUUAGCAAAAGGAGGAAAAGCAUCAAAAUGGUCUCUAGCCUACAAUUGUAUUUGGUAAAGCUGAUGUACAGGCUGCAGAAAAAGUAGUGAUAUUAAAUGAGCUAUCUGAAUUGCAAAAAAUGUUGAUCAGAAGUUCUAGAGUUUUGUUUGUUUGAAAAAGAAAAACCUGUGUUGAUCAUGAAUUGGGAUAUUCUUAACUUUGCAGAUAUGUACAGAAAUAGCAAUUUACUUAAUAGGUUGUCCUUUACUGUGAGUGACUUAGCAGCUUUCCAGAAUCAGCCUGGAAUAUUCUUAUCAAUUCAGCCACCACUCGUAGCUGCUUACUGUGAAUGCCAUAUGUAAGCAAGCCUUAUUUAACCUUCACGCUUUCUAAUAUAAUAUUUUUGUGAAUUUUCCACAUUAGAAAAGUUGUCCAAGGAGUAGCAGAAUACAUGAUGCCUGAAUUCCUGGAGAUUUAUUUCCUUUGUCUCCCAAAAGUCUCUCUCACGUCUGCUUCAACACUCUCCCAUUUUCCACUGAGUAUUGUGAUCAACCCCAUGGGAUGUUCAGAUCACGUGUACUGUCUGGUUAAUGCAGAGUGGUGAGGCUGGUGUGUUCUGGCAUGGCUGGCCAGCACAUGCUUGCUGAUUAGUCAUCCUGUUGGCAAAUUAGACUAAGUCCUCUCUAAUGAACUUUGUAUCUUCAGUUAUAAAUAAAUACCUCUCACGUUUGUUUAACAUAUGAAAUGUACUGCAGCCUUCAGAGGCUUUUACAUAUUCAGUCAUUCUAGAAAUAAAAUAGAGAAGCUUCAUCUAGCUGUAUGCAAAAUAAUUGAAAAACUGAAAGCACCUGCAGGAAACUGGUAAACAAUAGCUUGUAUUGUUAAAAAAAAAAAAAGAACAUCAACACCCCAGCAACUGUAAUUGCUAGAGCUUUCCUUGUACAUGGUGUUUGCAGUACAGAGCACUUGCUCAGGGAUCCCUUGCAGCCAGUUUCAGUUCGACUGUAGUAUAGGGGCAAGGCAGCAAAUAAGAUGAGUAGUAUUCUCUUCAAAAUUAGAAAUUUUGGUAAAUCAGAACUGAUCAGAUAGCCAGAACUUACUUAUACCCGUGAGUUUGCAAGUUGUUCUGGGGGCAUAUCCUGCAACAUGAGCUUGCACACCUCCUGAGACUUUUUCCCCAACUUUUUCUGGAGGCCACUUCUGCCAAGGAUGAACACACAGACACACACACAAAGAGAGAUGUGACUUCUUACUAUAGAGACCAAUUUUUGCGUGUAUCAGCCAGUGCUAGCAUUUCCAGGACCCUCACCAGCCCCUUCAUUUUACAAGGUGAAAUAGUAUAACUUAAGGUUGCUGUUUUCAUGAAGCAAACUUUAGUUCCAUUUCUCUCUAAGUCUAUUUCACUUUCUGUGAUACAUUUAGCAGUUGGAGAAAUGUAACUUAAUCAUAGGAUCUUGGCAUGUUCACUACCCUUUAUUCAUUUGCAAGUGAAUUUCAGAGUUGAAAUGUGCUGUGUUUUUUUCAUUGAUCCUUGGAGCCUGAUGAUGUGAGUAGGACAUGGACAGGCCUGAGUGGAGUUCCUAGAAUCAUAGAAUGGGUUAGAUCGGAAAGGACAUUAUUGAUCAUCUAGUUCCAGCUCCCCCUGCCAUGCUUAGGAGUGCUCCAACCCACGUGCAGGACCUUGCACUUGGCCUUGCUGAACUCCAUGAGUUUCAUAUGGGGCCACCUCUCAAGCCUGUCAAGGUCCCUUUGCAUGGCAUCCCUUCCCUUCAGCUUGUCGACUGCACCGCACAGCUUGGUGUCAUCAGCAAAUUUGCUGAGGGCUUGUGUAAUCAAUCCCAUUGUCCAUGUUGUCGGCAAAGAUGUUAAACAGCACGGGUCUCAAUACUGAUCCCUGAGGAAUGCCUCUUGUCGCUGGUCUCCACUUGGACAUGGAGCUGUUGACCACAACUCUGAGUGUGAUUGUCCAGUGAGUUCCUUAUCCAAUGACUGGUCCAUCUGUCAAAUCAAUGUCUCUCCAAUUUAGGACAAGGAUGUCAUGUGGGGCAGUAUCAAAUGCUUUGCACAAGUCCAGGUAGAUGACAUCAGUUGCUCUUCCCCUAUCCACCCAUGCUGUGAUGUCAUCAUAGAAGGCAACCAAGUUUUUCAAGUAUGAUUUGCCUUUGGCAAAGCAAGGUUGGCUGUCACCAUUCACUUCCUUAUUUUCUGUAUGCCCUAGCAUAGUUUCCAGGAGGAUCUGCUCCGUGGUCUUGCUGGGCACAGAGAUGAGACUGACUGGCUUGUAGUUCUCCAAGUCUUCCCUUUUCCGCUUUUAAAAAUCAGCCUAAAACUCACUGUAUUUCAUGACUCCUUUGAGGUAGAUAAUGAACUGCAUGUUUUCCAUCUGGUUAGCUCUUAGUGCAUGGCUGUAAAUAGUGUAUUUGAAUACUUCUUUUUUUUCAGUUGUGGAUUUUUUAAAGUGUUCUGCAAUAAGCACUUUCUGACAGCUGUGUGCUUCCAUUACCUCUGCUCAGAUUUCCCACAGUAGGCUGCUAUUCCCACUUGGAUUACUGAAGAACAGAAGAGGAUAGAGCAGCAUGACUGUAACGCAGUGACAGAAGUAGGCUGAACCAUCCCAUCUGGGAAGGUGUAGGGUCUCAGUCUCUCUGAAAGCAGAUAAACACAUAUCCCAAGGUGUGCCUGGGAAUGUUUCUCAUCCCAUGCUGGCACAUACUGCCAAAGGAGGAACUUGACUUAAGGCAUCAUGGGGUAAGAAGAGAAAGUGGAUCUGUAAAAUAUCUGAGCAUCCUGGACUGAUUGCAAAGCUGGGUUGCUGCUCAGCCUCAUGACUGGUUAGAGUGUCAUCCUGACUUAACAGGCCGUGAGCAGUGAACUGAGAUUGGUAUUUGACAGUGCGACCUCCAAAGUUCCCUUCUAGCCAAAAUUUUUCUGUAAUUUUUGAGGGAAGGAUACAGAUUUUUGUUCAAGAAACCAUGAAAAUCUCUCUGAAUAAACAAGAAUAACCCAAUGGUAGGAGUCUAGUCUAUCAUUCUUGUUCUGAAUCCUUCAUCUGGGGGUGAGAAGUUGUGUUCUGUGUGUCUGGAGGAUCUAUUUUGCUCAGUGGGAUCCUAUGGGCUUGGACAGGCAUGGGGGCAGGGUGAACUAGUGGUGGUUAUGGCAGCACAAAAGGGACUUUUACUGUCAGGGUCAAGAAGAUUCAUUGUCCUGCAGUGCGGAGAGUUAGUGCUUCCUCUUACCCAAAGAGGCUGUACAAACCUGAACACCACAGAUGAGGCAGCAAAGGCAGAGUUAAUGUCACAGAAAUUAAUCAUGUCAGAGCACACUGGAGCAGAACUAUGUCAUACACGUGUUGCUGGGCUGAAACAGAUGUGGAAAGAAAGCCAACUUGAGAUAAUGGCUCAGUAGACCUGUGGGUGCAAUUCUUUUGUGGCUAAAUUGUGCCUCAGUGAACCAGAUAGCAUUAAGAAUGGUGUUAUGACCAUACUUCCGUUACAUAGUAUAUUUUGCUCCUUUUAUUGAGUGUAUGCCUCAUAAAUGUGCACAUUUAAAAGUAAUAUUAUUGUGUGCCUUCUUUCCUCACUCCUUUUUUCCUUAACUACUACCAGCUCUCCAUUUUCCAGGGCUGGGUAAGGCAGACACGUGAUAAAUGUGUUUAAGCUAACAUAACAAACUGUCAUGAAAAAUACGAUUGGGAAAAGGAGAAACCUCAUUGGCUCUAGAAUACAGAGAUCCUCUAGCUGACCCAAACAGGUAGGUGUGGAUAGCGAAGGUGUGGCUGUGCUGCUUUUACACCAAAGCUGGCCUGCUCAAGACACUUCAGAUGACUGUGCCUCCAACAAUGUGAUUGACCCACAACCUAAAGUCACCAGAGAGAUUCUGAACAGCUGACUGUCCAGCAAAUGUGUGGGUCCAUGCUCACAAAGAUUCUCAGGGUAUGUGAGUAAAGAAAAGGUGAACAGGGAGAUGGUUUAGCUUCUCAAAUCCAGAAGCACAAUUCUGAGCAGGGACUCCAGACUUUUUUCUUUCAGAAGAGAACCUCUAGCAGAUUGCACCUCAUCUUUAUUGUUCUAGCACUUACAUGAGCAUUAUUUAUGUGCUGUAUCUUUUGUUCAGCCAAGUAUCUUGUUUGUAUUUUUAAUUAGUGUUGUGUGACUGGGAUGAAGGAAUUUCUGGGAAAAAGUUCUAUAAUCUGUCCUAAUAAUGAUGGGCACAGACUUUCACUGAACUUCUGGUAUGUCUUGUGUUUCUUCCCCUUGAAGGUACAAGGCAGAUCAUUGUGUAAGAUCUGCCACGGUAUUGUAAUAGAGAAGAUGCAAUCUCGACAGGAUUGGGAUAGGAGAGACUUUCUUAAGUCUCGUGUGACCGUAGCACUUGUGUAAACAAAGAGUAGUUCCAGGGAGACAGCUAUUGCAGCAACAUGGAGAUUUGGGGCUGCUCAGACUUGUAAAAGCAGCCUGUAGGCAAUAUACUCAGAAGGCUGUAUACAUGAGAACAGUUCCUAGCUGACUGUGUAACUAAGCGCCAAAGAGUGAUCUCUCUCUUUGUGCCAGAAUAAAGCAGGUACGGAUUCAGAUCACACAGGGGAAUUAGAAAAAUCUAUAAGACACCCAUCACAGAAGAUCUGUACAGUAAUACCUGCACAUACCCCUGCACACAGCCAUUAAAUUUAGAAUGUCCUGUCUUUUUUGAGAGACUAUGCUUCAGUCUGGCAGUCUUUUUUGAGAGACUAUUUUGAGUACCUAUACUACCCCCCCAAAAAGACUACUGUUGUGGUCACAUGCUUUGUAUUAGUAGAAAAGUUUUAAAUGGGGCUGUUGCAGGCAUGGGGAUAAAAGGUCAGGUUCUUUUCUGAGGUAUAACUAUGUGAUGCUUGGAUUGGAGAGUCAUUUUGUGCUUCCUCAGACCUUGCCUGAGAUCGGGGCGGGGGGGCAUCUACUUACUGAGAAGCAGCAUAAAGUGCAGAGAUGCAGUCUGACCUACUACAUUCGCAAAUACAGUUCAGCAUUUCACAGACUUAGCAGCUCAGUUUUGAAGACAGUGGGUGUAUAAACGAGCUUAGCACAGUUCCUGAGCUAAUGAGCUCUGACCCUUGCUACUGCACAAUAACCGGGGCACAGGGCUGCGCUAAUGCGGCUUUGUUGCUCCGUGGCCUGGAGCUGCCUCAUCGCUCUUGGAUUUCUGGGCAGUGGGCUGGCCCCAGGCCGUGGUCAGCACAGCCAGAGCCCAUGGAGGCCUCUCUGCACCCAUCAGGGCACAGUGACUUGGGAGGCUGUUUUCAGUGUCCUUUGAAAGAGUCCCAGAUGUGUCUCGUUCUGCUCUUCAGAGCUCCUCUGGAAUUUAACAUCUUAUCUACUCUGAAGCAUCACACUGAGACCUGAGACAGUACCCAGUGAAUUACUCUGUCUUUUGACUAUUUGGCAACAAAGUAGAGGUUAGAAAACUUCCUGAAGUUUCUCUGAAGCAAACACCAAGUGACGUGCUGGUGAAGCCCAAAGACUGUAGCACCGUGACCAUAACAGCACUGUACUGCCGCAGUCGUGUAGUACAACACUGCAGCAUAAAUUGGAAAGCAGUAAUUUCAGUGAUAAUUCUGUCAAAAAUCUCUGUCCAUGUCUUUCUGCCUCUCCUAAACAGGCAGUGCUAAGGGAAAAGAGUGUUCCCAGCCCCUGCUUUUUUCAGUGUCUGUCUUCAGUGCUGUGUAGACAGAGACCUCAUUUUUGUAGUGUUGUUUGUCCUUUUCCCAGUGGUGUAAGUAGUGUGCUGUUGCUUCCAUGACUUUUACCAAUCCUCAAUCUGUGCCUAAGUCUAAAACUACCUACAGCCUUCUCAAUAGGGGGAAAUUAUUAUGCAGUGACACAGUGAAAUUAAAACUCAGCGGCACUUCUGGAAUAAUACCCUGUUAGGACUGCUUACUCCAGAAUACAAAUACAUUCUCCAGUUCAGUGUUUGGUUACUUCAGAAAAGGGCACAUAGAGCUGUUCCAUGCAAGCUUUUGCGAAAGGGCUUUGAAUGCAGCAUCUGGUUUUGGUCAAACUUGCUGUGUGUUGCUGGUCCAAAGGGACUGUGGCCGCAGCGCUCUGGGAGGGAGUGCAGCUUUACCCUUGUUUCACAAUAUUUUCCUUGGAAAUUCGUAGCACCCAACUGACUCUGUCAUCCACUUGUGCUGGUAUUCCCCUACCCCUUCUGAAAAAGAGCUUCUUGUUCUCCUAAUUAUUACUGGUCUGUUUUGGGAAAUAUUAUGUCCUCCUUUGAUUUUUUGAUGGCGGCUGAAACUGUUAAAAUGUUCUUUUUUUUUUUUUUUUUUUCUUUUUUUAUCUUGUAAAUGUCAUUAUUGUCAAAGAUGAAGACAGCAAUCUAGAAAAUACGUUGUAGUGUUUUUCGGGUAUACAGUAUUCUUCCUGGAGAUUGAAUCAUUCAGUCACUAGCAAUAGAAAUUUGGUAUUAGACUGACAAAGGACUAGAGGUAGUGAAAUUCUCCUGGCUCUUGGCACCCUAGGUGAAAAGCAUUUGAGAGUCCUGGAGAAAUGCCCACAAUUAGACAACUUUGUUGGUCAUUGGAUAUUUGAAGUUGUUUGGGGCAUGGAAACAUUUCUGCUUUAUUCUUACCCUUGAAUGGAUGUUCUUUCAAUAUCAUGUAAAGAUAGUUGCACAGUGCAAAAAUAUGAUAAUCUUAAUAGACUGUUUGAAGAUGGAAGGACUGUAAUUGUAAGGACUGUUACCCUUGACAUUUUUAUAAGACUGCCAAAUUAUACAAUAACAAGUAUUUUAUGAACUAGGAUAAGUAAACAGCUAAAACAUUAAGGCACUUGACAUGCAUUUAAAAUAAAUAGUAAAACUGAAAAUAUGUUAACCAUCUGAAGUCUGUGUAAUACUUUGAAAAUGUAAUAUGGCUUUCAAUGUCAUGUGCUUGACACAGUAUACAGUAUUCUUCAGGAGCAAAAUUCCUGACCAGUCACGUACAUACCAAGGGAAAGAUGUGUGAGACUAUUUCGAUGGUGUGCUAUUUUUGCAAUAUACUACAAAGCUGCUUCUCACAGACACCUAGGUUUCACUGUAUUCCCAUGAGUUUUGCAAACCUUCUUCUAGGAGCACUCUGGACUUUUGAGUGUCAUGUCCUAUGUUUGCACAUUUGGUUUUAAUCUGCAAGUUAUCUUUGAAAUUGUACUAGUUCAUGGUGGUUAAAAAAUACCAUCUCCUAGUUGUAUUAUAUGUUCCUCUGGAAAGCAGCCUCUUAAUAAGAAUAAAACAUGAAUCUAAUCCAGCAACUCUAGCAAGCGUUCCUACUUACUCUGAAAGAAUAAGCCCAUAUGAGGAAGAACUUGUGUUAAUGUCACAUUUCUUCUCUGUAAAGGGGUAACAAAGUCAGGCAAUAUGCUUAUUGCUCAUUAGAGGUCAGCAGUGAAGCACAACAGAAAGGAAGAGCUCAGCAGUUAUUUAAAGAACUCAGUUCUCUUCUGUUCAAACGUUAUUUUACAGUUUUUGGGACAGGGAAAAAAAAAUCUGGUUUCCAGAUGUGAAAUUUAAAUAUAUAC